UAAGGAAUAUUGCGCAAUGGGGGAAACCCUGACGCAGCAACGCCGCGUGGAGGAUGACACUUUUCGGAGCGUAAACUCCUUUUAUCAGGAAAGAAUUAUGACGGUACCUGAUGAAUAAGCACCGGCUAACUCCGUGCCAGCAGUCGCGGUAAUACGGGGGGUGCAAGCGUUACUCGGAAUAACUGGGCGUAAAGGACGCGUAGGCGGAUUAGCCAGUCAUUUGUGAAAUCUAGUGGCUUAACCACUAAACUACUUAGGAUACGGAUAGUCUAGAGUAGGGGAGUGGUAGAUGGAAUUCAUGGUGUAGUGGUAAAGUCCGUAGAGAACAAGAAGAAUGCCCAUUGCGAGAGCGAUCUGCUGGACCCUAACUGACGCUGAGGCGUGAAAGCGUGGGUAGCAAACAGG
Molecule: ribosomal RNA, 405 nt
Filed under: bacterium
Lineage: Bacteria
Description: partial 16S ribosomal RNA
Rfam family: Bacterial small subunit ribosomal RNA
Source: RNAcentral